This 1624-nucleotide ribosomal RNA is filed under the name uncultured Amoebophrya. RNAcentral's name for it is "SSU rRNA". It matches the Rfam family "Eukaryotic small subunit ribosomal RNA". The record is from RNAcentral. Lineage: Eukaryota; Dinophyceae; Syndiniales.
AUUAGCCAUGCAUGUCUCAGAAUAAGUCUUCACACGGCGAAUCUGCGAAUGGCUCAUUAAAACAGUUAUAUUCUAUUCGAUGGUCAAAAGUUAUAUGGAUAACUGCGGUAAUUCUGGAGCUAAUACAUGCGAAAAGACCCGACUUCUGGGAAGGGUUGUAUUUAUUAGAUACAGAACCAAUGCUCUUCGGAGUUUUUGGAUGAUUCAUAAUAAAUGAACGGAGCUCAUGGCUUGUGCCGGAGCUAUGUCGAUCGAGUUUCUGACCUAUCAGCUUUCGACGGUAGGGUAUUGGCCUACCGUGGCAUUGACGGGUAACGGAGAAUUAGGGUUCGAUUCCGGAGAGGGAGCCCGAGAAACGGCUACCACAUCUAAGGAAGGCAGCAGGCGCGCAAAUUACCCAAUCCUGACACAGGGAGGUAGUGACAAGAAAUAACAAAGCAGGCGCUUACCGCGUUCUGCUAUUGGAAUGAGUAGAAUUUAAACCACUUUUCGACUAUCCAUUGGAGGGCAAGUCUGGUGCCAGCAGCCGCGGUAAUUCCAGCUCCAAUAGCGUAUAUUAAAGUUGUUGCGGUAAAAAAGCUCGUAGUUGGAUUUCUGCUGAGGAUGAGCGGUCCGCUCACUGAGCGUGUAUCUGCUUCAGCCUUGGCAUCCUCUCGUUAAUCGUUCCUGCGCUUGAUUGCGUGGGGCGAGUGGCGGGACUUUUACUUUGAGGAAAUUAGAGUGUUCACGGCAGGCUAUCGCCAGAAUACAUUAGCAUGGAAUAAUACUAUAGGAUUUUGGUCCUAUUUUGUUGGUUUCUAGGAUUAAAAUAAUGAUUAAUAGGGACAAUUGGGGGCAUUCGUAUCAACACGUCAGAGGUGGAAUUCUUGGAUUGUGUUGCGACGAACUACUGCGAAAGCAUUUGCCAAGGAUGUUUUCAUUGAUCAAGAACGAAAGUAAGGGGAUCGAAGAUGAUUAGAUACCGUCGUAGUCUUUACCACAAACUAUGCCAAGAGAGAUGGGACAUCGUAUUGUUACGACGUGGUCCGCACCUACUCAGAUAUCAAACUGAACGGGGUAAGGGGGGAGUAUGGUCGCAAGACUCAAAACUAAAGGAAUUCACGGAAGGGCACCACCCGGAGUGGAGCCUGUCGUUAGAUUUGACUCAACACGGGGAAACUCACCAGGUCCAGACAUAACCAGGAUUGUCAGAUUCCUAGCUAUUUCACGAUAGGCCAAUACCUGGUGCAUGGCCGUUUGAUAGGUCAGAAACUGAUUUGUACAUAGAUCCGCCUCAACCCACGAGACCCGUUCAUUUUUUAUGAAUUAUCCAAUAAUUGGAUAGAGCCUUUGUUCUGAGAGGGAUAAAUACAACCUCAGCAGAGGAAGUGUGUGUUUGCAACUAUUAGCUCCUGACUUACGACAUUUAUCCAUGCAACUUCGGUCCAUUGAAUCGUUCAUAGAGGUUACAACCUUCCCUUCGCAGGUUCGCCGACCGAAGAAACAUUCAUCGACAUGCGGAUAGUUAUUUGCAAGACAAGCUUUUGAAUGAGGACAUGAUCAACCAGGUGGUUCAUCAGACCGUCGUGAUUACGUCCCUGCCCUUUGUACACACCGCCCGUCGCUCCUACCGAUUGAGCAAUCC